UCCGAUUUGUCACCGGCAGUCUCCUAUGAGUCCCCGUCUUUCACGCUGGCAACAUAGGACAGGGGUUGCGCUCGUUGCGGGACUUAACCCAACAUCUCACGGCACGAGCUGACGACAGCCAUGCACCACCUGUGAAGGUGCCCCGAAGGGAGACCGUGUUUCCACGGCUUUCCCCAAGAUGUCAAGCCCAGGUAAGGUUCUUCGCGUUGCGUCGAAUUAAACCACAUGCUCCACCGCUUGUGCGGGCCCCCGUCAAUUCCUUUGAGUUUCAGCCUUGCGGCCGUACUCCCCAGGCGGGACACUUAACGCGUUAGCUGCGGCACAGAGGGAUUCGACUCCCCCCACACCUAGUGUCCAUCGUUUACGGCUAGGACUAC
This 377-nucleotide unclassified non-coding RNA is filed under the name uncultured bacterium. Its description in RNAcentral is "contains 16S-23S intergenic spacer region". The record is from RNAcentral.